Molecule: ribosomal RNA, 460 nt
Filed under: uncultured bacterium
Lineage: Bacteria
Description: partial 16S ribosomal RNA
Rfam family: Bacterial small subunit ribosomal RNA
Source: RNAcentral
CCUACGGGAGGCAGCAGUGAGGAAUAUUGGUCAAUGGGCGCGAGCCUGAACCAGCCAAGUAGCGUGAAGGAUGAAUGCCCUACGGGUUGUAAACUUCUUUUAUAAAGGAAUAAAGUGAGGCACGUGUGCCUUUGUGUAUGGACUUUACGAAUAGGGAUCGGCUAAAGCCGUGCCAGCAGCCGCGGUAAUACAGAGGAUCCGAGCGUUAUCCGGAUUGAUUGGGUUUAAAGGGAGCGUAGAUGGGUUGUUAAGUCAGUUGUGAAAGUUUGCGGCUCAACCGUAAAAUUGCAAUUGAUACUGGCAGCCUUGAGUACCGUUGAGGUAGGCGGAAUUCGUGGUGUAGCGGUGAAAUGCUUAGAUAUCACGAAGAACUCCGAUUGCGAAGGCAGCUUACUAAACUGCCACUGACAUUGAUGCUCGAAAGUGUGGGUAUCAAACAGGAUUAGAUACCCGUGUAGUC